Molecule: transfer RNA, 71 nt
Filed under: Loxodonta africana (African savanna elephant)
Lineage: Eukaryota; Metazoa; Chordata; Mammalia; Proboscidea; Elephantidae
Rfam family: tRNA
About the family: Transfer RNA (tRNA) molecules are approximately 80 nucleotides in length. Their secondary structure includes four short double-helical elements and three loops (D, anti-codon, and T loops). Further hydrogen bonds mediate the characteristic L-shaped molecular structure. tRNAs have two regions of fundamental functional importance: the anti-codon, which is responsible for specific mRNA codon recognition, and the 3' end, to which the tRNAs corresponding amino acid is attached (by aminoacyl-tRNA synthetases). tRNAs cope with the degeneracy of the genetic code in two manners: having more than one tRNA (with a specific anti-codon) for a particular amino acid; and 'wobble' base-pairing, i.e. permitting non-standard base-pairing at the 3rd anti-codon position.
Source: Rfam by way of RNAcentral
GCAAUGGUGGUUUGGUGGUACAAUUCUCCACUCCCGUACAGGGGACCCGGGUUCGAUUCCUGGCCAAUGCA